UGCUCGAGCCUUCUUGGCCUUCGGUAAAUUAUGUCCACUUGAGAUCAAGGUUCGAACUUGUUAAAUGUGCAACAGAUUUCGUAUAUCCUUUCCAAACUCACGCAAUAUGGCACGUACUUUUUGCGCUUGAGUAAAUCCUUUUUUUGUAUUUUAAAUAGGAUUUUCGACUGAUUCAAAUAUUUCAAAACUGUCUUCACUUUACAAGGGUACCAAUGUAUUUUUCUCCCUUGUUUGGAAUUGCCGAUCCGGCGUUGACAAAUGAUGAGCCUGUUUUAUUCCGUCAAUUUCAAAUGACACCUGAGAUAAUCUUAGAUCUUGAGAACGAUGCAAUACUGGUUCUCACACUUUAUACUUCAGUGGGUGGAUGAAUAAUCAGCCACGUUUAGUCUCCAAAGCUAAUUAUCGCUGAGGCAAUUCUUAUUGCAUUUCGGUGUCGCAACUGGAAAAGCCUCAUUGAACACUUCUCAGAAACACGAGGCAAAAUCCGGAAAUUCCACCGCCUUCAAACAUAUCGGUUUUAGCCAAAAUUGAAAGUCUAAAACAUCCAACCAAGUACAUUUUUUGGCAUAAAAGAUCGUCUAUUGGCCCAUGUUCAGGCAGGGCUAUAAAAUCCAAUCAAGAACCCUUUUUCGUCUCGUUCCACAAAGCAGUUGAAUCAUAAUGAUUUGAUCUCCCGUGAUCUUCGAGGCAUAACUUUCUGUGCUCUAGAGUACGCCCUCAGACGGACCUGAGUGAUAACUUCGCCAGGCUCACUCUCAUCUACAUAUCAAGUGAAAUUGUGGAAGUUGCCCAGCGGCCUCAGGCCUAAUCUGUGCCAUGAAUUAAGAGUACAUUGUACGCGAAAAGGUACAAGAAGGCACGUUCCACAAAAUAAAACAAGAUCCUGCGCGAAGAAGGCGAUGAAAUACAGAUGACGAGAUUCAAGGCAGAACCCUUGGAAUAAAGAACCAGUGAUUAUCUUGGGAAAUCAUCUUGAAGGGCUGAAUUUGGUUGUAGGAACUAGGCCUGAAGCAGGCCCACCAGGGAGAUUGUACGAGUAUUAAACACUAUAUCAUGAGAUUUGCUCGCAAAAAUGCAUUCCAAGCCCGACUAUUAUGAAGUGCCGCUCUCAUUCGUUGGAGACUCGUGUGGAUUUUUUUUUUAAAGAAGACCCGGAACGGUUGUUCAAGAUGUGGAGAAGGAUCGGUGUUUCUCUCUCUCUCAUUUGCCAUUGCUUCUAAUAACUAUGGUUUUUCAGUCGCAAGUGCUCUUCAGGAAAUAAAUGAGCUCAUUAGGAA
Tigriopus californicus is the source of this 1277-nucleotide long non-coding RNA. RefSeq lists it as uncharacterized. The transcript has 2 exons. Lineage: Eukaryota; Metazoa; Arthropoda; Copepoda; Harpacticoida; Harpacticidae. The record is from RefSeq and is a predicted model, not a curated record.